This 408-nucleotide ribosomal RNA is filed under the name uncultured bacterium. Its description in RNAcentral is "partial 16S ribosomal RNA". It matches the Rfam family "Bacterial small subunit ribosomal RNA", at positions 28 to 526 of the family's 1533-position model. The record is from RNAcentral.
GACGAACGCUGGCGGCGUGCUUAACACAUGCAAGUCGAACGAAGUGGCGAACGGGUGAGUAAUACGUGGGUAACCUGCCCUCCUUAUUGGGAUAAGCCUUGGAAACGGGGGCUAAUACCGGAUAAGGGGGGAUGGGCUCGCGGCGUAUUAGCUUGUCGGUGGGGUAAUGGCAUACCAAGGCGGUGCCGGGUAGCCGGCCUGAGAGGGUGACCGGCCACAUUGGGACUGAGAUACGGCCCAGACUCCUACGGGAGGCAGCAGUAGGGAAUCUUCGGCAAUGGACGGAAGCCUGACCGAGCAACGCCGCGUGAGUGAAGAAGGCCUUCGGGUUGUAAAGUACUUUCAGCGGGGAGGCGUUACCCGCAGAAGAAGCACCGGCUAACUCCGUGCCAGCAGCCGCGGUAAUUC